This 275-nucleotide unclassified non-coding RNA is filed under the name uncultured Stachybotrys. RNAcentral's name for it is "sequence contains 5.8S rRNA gene". The stretch from base 1 to 53 matches the Rfam family "5.8S ribosomal RNA", at positions 102 to 154 of the family's 154-position model. The record is from RNAcentral. Lineage: Eukaryota; Fungi; Ascomycota.
GAACGCACAUUGCGCCCGCUAGUAUUCUGGCGGGCAUGCCUGUCCGAGCGUCAUUAGAACCCUCGGGACCCCUUCUGGCAAUAGCCCGGAGGGGCCCCGGCGUUGGGGAUCGGCUGCCCCCGCGGCUGCCGGCCCCGAAAUCUAGUGACGGUCUCACCGCAUACUCCUUUGCGUAGUAAAACACCUCGCACUGGACGGCUGGAGUGACCACGUCGUUAACCCCCAACUUUAUAAGGUUGACCUCGGAUCAGGUAGGAAUACCCGCUGAACUUAAG